Non-coding RNA from Soboliphyme baturini, 83 nucleotides. The record is from Rfam. Lineage: Eukaryota; Metazoa; Nematoda; Enoplea; Dioctophymatida; Soboliphymatidae.
AGCACGGUGGCCGAGUGGUUAAGGCGUUAGACUUAAGAUCUAAUGGACACAUGUCCGCGUGGGUUCGAACCCCACCCGUGCUA